CUUCAACUUGCCAUUAUUGCCAUCUUAGCACCUACGCUAACUUCAUGAAACUAGGUUUCUGCUUGUUCUUAUGACUAUACACACGGGGUCUGGGGAAAUAACCAGAAGAGAUGGCUAGAGUCCUCCUGGGGCUAUCGUAAGGUGGGAUGCCUACCACAGCAUUGCUUUCGCCAAGCGGUGCCAUGUCCUCACCCGGGAUCCGAGCUGGCGAACCCCAGGCCGCCAAGAAGCGGAACGUGUGAACUUAACUGCUGCGCCACUGGGCCGGCCCCACUAUUUUUAUUUUUAAUAAAAUUUGCAUUUAAGAUGCCUUAUUUUAAAGCAAUAAAGCAUAACUCCUUAUAUGUUUAAAACUCCUGUUAAAUGUUAUAAAUUAACGUCAUUUUCUGCUAAUUUACACCCCUACAAAUGACAUGGAAGGGCCAGAGAGGAGGUAAAAGGGCAAGAGAGAAGGCAACUGACAUUACUUUGCUAAGCUAUUAGUAUAUGAUCAUUCCUUUUUUUAUUCUAGCUUUAUUGAGAUAUAACUGACAUGUAUUGUAGUAAGUUUAAGGUGUACCAUGCGAUGAUUUGAUACACAUAUAUAAUGAAAAAUCUUUCCUACAGUAAGGUUAGUUAACAAAUCCUUUACCUGACAGAAUUACCACUUUGUUGUUGUUGUUAUGGCGAGAAAUUAAAGCUCUGCACUGAUAGCAACUUUCAAGUAUUUAAUACAGUAUAGUCAACUUUAGUUACCAUGCUGUACCUUAGGUCCCCAGAACCUAAGGAUAUAUUUUAAGCUGACGUCUUUCAACUGAAUGUCUGUACCCUUUGAACAAUAUCUCCCCAUUUCCUCCACCCUUUGCCCCUGUAAUCACCAUUCUACUCUCUGUUUCUAUGAGUUCACCAGUUUUAGAUUCCACAUAUAAGUGAUAUUGUGCAGUAUCUCUCUUUCUCUGUCUGACUAAAUUCACUUAGAAUAAUGCCUUCAGGGUCCAUCCAUGUUGUUGCAAACGGC
RNAcentral lists this long non-coding RNA (997 nucleotides) under Equus caballus (horse). RNAcentral's name for it is "lncRNA (ENSECAG00000046442.1)". Lineage: Eukaryota; Metazoa; Chordata; Mammalia; Perissodactyla; Equidae. The record is from RNAcentral.